Molecule: long non-coding RNA, 219 nt
Organism: Bactrocera tryoni
Lineage: Eukaryota; Metazoa; Arthropoda; Insecta; Diptera; Tephritidae
Exons: 3
Source: RefSeq, a predicted model, not a curated record
UGGCUGGAUGUCGAUAAUGCAAAUGUAUUGGAUGUAAACGUAAAUGAUAUCUUCUUCACCGUUUCAAAGAAGAUGUUUACAAAUACAUCUCAAGAUUGAAUUUCUAGUCUGAUAAGUAUUGCAGUGGAUUCAUCACCAUACCAUAUUAGUACUGCCAGGAAACAUUUGGAUACUUAACGGAAGAAAAUUGCGAACAAAAAACUCGAUAUUGCUCGUGCC